Molecule: non-coding RNA, 459 nt
Organism: Sinocyclocheilus anshuiensis
Lineage: Eukaryota; Metazoa; Chordata; Actinopteri; Cypriniformes; Cyprinidae
Source: the annotation of a RefSeq genome assembly
AUGUUGUUGAAGCUGUUCAUUUUUGCAUCGGUUUAUCAUGAGUGCCAUGGAGAAGACAGUGUUGAUCAGCCAGAUAAAAACAUCACUGAAUUUGAAGAAAGAUCAGUAACAUUACAAUGCAAAUAUAAAACAGCUUUAUCACAACCAGAACUUUUCUGGUACAUCCAGAGAGCAAAUGACUUUCCUAAAUACAUCCUGAUGAGAAACAAAUAUGGAGGAGCAGAUAAUGAUGCCCAGUUUCAGGAGAGAUUUCAUUCUGAAGUGUCAUCAGAUUCAGUUCCACUGAUGAUCAAGAAUCUGCGUGUGUCUGACUCUGCUGUGUACUACUGUGCUCUGAGGUCCACAGUGACUAAAACACACUCAACACUCACACAAAAACAGAUAACCAAGAGAAGUGUCUUCGCUGAAGAAAUGGCAGACGUUACUCCUCAGACACCUGUGAACACCAAGCAGUCUUGA